Molecule: long non-coding RNA, 277 nt
Filed under: Homo sapiens (human)
Lineage: Eukaryota; Metazoa; Chordata; Mammalia; Primates; Hominidae
Description: non-protein coding lnc-C11orf54-1:2
Rfam family: Small nucleolar RNA U2-19 (bases 29-108)
Source: RNAcentral
CUUUCUGAGAUCUGCUUUUAGUGAAGUGGAUCAAUGAUGAAACUAGCCAAAUCUGAGCAUCAGAAGUCUUUCCAGUCUACCUGAUGCAUGAUCUCUACAGUUCUGAGAAGCAAAACUAUAAAACAAUGUAAAACAAUAAGGGCAUAUGUCUGGUGUGUGUGUGUGUGUGUGUGUGUGUGUGUGUGUGUACGCACAUGUGUUUAUAAAGAUAACAGCUGUAGGAAUGAAUGAGAUUGAGGGUGGGGGGGUGCGUAUGUAUGUCUAUGAAAGCCUAAUC